ACGCUCGACACCUACGGGAGCAGCAGUCGGGAAUAUUGCGCAAUGGAGGAAACUCUGACGCAGUGACGCCGCGUAUAGGAAGAAGGUUUUCGGAUUGUAAACUAUUGUCGUUAGGGAAGAAAAAGGACAGUACCUAAGGAGGAAGCUCCGGCUAACUACGUGCCAGUAGCCGCCGGUAAGUACUGAGCGGGCGUGGCGAAGGAC
Molecule: ribosomal RNA, 204 nt
Filed under: uncultured bacterium
Lineage: Bacteria
Description: partial 16S ribosomal RNA
Rfam family: Bacterial small subunit ribosomal RNA
Source: RNAcentral